AAAGGGGGUCAGAGUUUUUCUUCAUUCUCACAUUUUCUUCUUUUCUCUGGUAUUUUUCUGCUUUCUUCGGAAUUAAAAGAGUCGUAAUUGAAAAUCACAAUCAAUGAACUCGGUAGAGACAUGGUUAUAUCAAAUUACUGAUGCCGUCAAUGUUGGUUGGUGGUAUAAGAAUAUCUUCUUGUUGUUAUCUGGAUUUGGAAGUUUUCUUGAGGUAACCAAUUUUCACUCAACUGAUCAAAUUAGUUUUUACCGGUUGUUGAAUUUUGUGCUAUCACCCAUGAUAAAUAUUGGGAUUCAGCACUUGGCCAUGAUUUAUCUCAAAUUUGGAGUUGUUGUAAAACAGGGAAGUUAGGGUUCCUACCAACUUGUUUUUUUUUGUUAAAAUUUAAUGAUUGAGUUUCAAUGUAGAUGAUAUUAAUGCAUGGGUUAACUGUAAUCAUGGCAAUUUGGGUCUGAAUUAUGUAACAUGAUAAAAUAGGCUUCCUCAUGUAAAUUUUGGGUUUCUCACCAAAUUUAUCUCCAAUGAGUUGUUUGAUGAAAAAUAGAAGCAAAAUGGUAUGUUGAAGGAUAUAUGCAUAUGGCUGCGGAGCAGACAGACAUCGCGUGGAUAUUUAUUGAGUUACCGAAUACGGAUGGUGGGGUACUGUCUUUAAAGUGAAACGACACUUUUAUCGCAUAAUGUCCGUGAAAAUAUACUAGUCUUAAUUUUUAUCUAGACUUGACCUUGUAGAUGUUUGUACCAGUGCAUGGCGAAUAAAAUGAUAUGGGAUAUGUAACCAUCACUUUUUCCGCUUCGUACUGCGUUUGGUAUUUCCAUCUGCUUUGUUCAGAGAUCUGGUGCAGAUGAACACAAACUACAUUUCUAGAGGUUGAACUUUGGAUUGUGCUAAAAACAGUCGAUGCUUGUAACUUAGGCAAGAUCAGGGGUGUGUUUGUGCUUGUGAUAUUAUUUUUACUUUUGGUUUUAUCUAGUUUCAUUCAUAUUUCAUUUUUAUGUGAUUUCAUACAAGGAUUCUAUCUUUUCACAUUUUAUGGUCACGUGCCCGAAUAUUGACUCCCUUCUA
Long non-coding RNA from Papaver somniferum (opium poppy), 1064 nucleotides. RefSeq lists it as uncharacterized. The record is from RefSeq and is a predicted model, not a curated record. NCBI's taxonomy places the organism in Eukaryota, Viridiplantae, Streptophyta, Magnoliopsida, Ranunculales, Papaveraceae. The transcript has 2 exons.